This 437-nucleotide ribosomal RNA is filed under the name uncultured bacterium. RNAcentral describes it as "bacterial SSU rRNA". It matches the Rfam family "Bacterial small subunit ribosomal RNA", at positions 28 to 477 of the family's 1533-position model. The record is from RNAcentral.
GAUGAACGCUGGCGGCGUGCUUAACACAUGCAAGUCGAACGAUGAAGCCCAGCUUGCUGGGUGGAUUAGUGGCGAACGGGUGAGUAACACGUGAGCAACCUGCCCCUGACUCUGGGAUAAGCGCUGGAAACGGCGUCUAAUACUGGAUACGAACCACGAAGGCAUCUUCAGUGGUUGGAAAGAUUUAUUGGUUGGGGAUGGGCUCGCGGCCUAUCAGCUUGUUGGCGAGGUAAUGGCUCACCAAGGCGUCGACGGGUAGCCGGCCUGAGAGGGUGACCGGCCACACUGGGACUGAGACACGGCCCAGACUCCUACGGGAGGCAGCAGUGGGGAAUAUUGCACAAUGGGCGCAAGCCUGAUGCAGCAACGCCGCGUGAGGGAUGACGGCCUUCGGGUUGUAAACCUCUUUUAGCAGGGAAGAAGCGAAAGUGACGGUA